GUCAGAAUAGCUUAGCUGGUAGAGCAUGAGACUCUUAAUCUCAAGGUCGUGGGUUCAAGCGCCACAUUGGGCA
Non-coding RNA from Podarcis lilfordi (Lilford's wall lizard), 73 nucleotides. Lineage: Eukaryota; Metazoa; Chordata; Lepidosauria; Squamata; Lacertidae. The record is from the annotation of a GenBank genome assembly.